Bifiguratus adelaidae is the source of this 81-nucleotide non-coding RNA. Lineage: Eukaryota; Fungi; Mucoromycota; Endogonomycetes; Endogonales. The record is from the annotation of a GenBank genome assembly.
GACACCAUGGCGCAGUGGUACCGCGGUAGACUGCUAAUCUAUUUCCCUUUGGGUUCCCAGGUUCGAAUCCUGGUGGUGUCG